GAUGAACGCUCGCGGCAGGCCUAAUACAUGCAAGUCGGACGGGAUUCAGGAGCUUGCUUCUGCUGAGAGUGGCGCACGGGUGCGUAACACGUAUGUAACCUACCUUUAUCAGGUGGAUAGCCUCUCGAAAGAGAGAUUAAGCCCGCAUAAAAUCACAGCACAGCAUUGUGUAAUGAUCAAAUAUUUAUAGUAUAAAGAUGGGCAUGCGGAACAUUAGCUUGAUGGCGGGGUAACGGCCCACCAUGGCGACGAUGUUUAGGGGAUCUGAGAGGAUGGCCCCCCACAAUGGUACUGAGACACGGACCAGAAUCGUACGGGAGGCAGCAGUAAGGAAGAUUGGGGAAUGGGCGGAAGCCUGAACCAGCCAUGCCGCGUGCAGGAAGACGGCCCUACGGGUGGUAAACUGCUUUUAUACGGGAAUAAACCCAGAUACGUGUAUCUGGCUGAAUGUACUGAAAGAAUAAGGAUCGGCUAACUCCGUG
This 482-nucleotide ribosomal RNA is filed under the name uncultured bacterium. RNAcentral describes it as "partial 16S ribosomal RNA". It matches the Rfam family "Bacterial small subunit ribosomal RNA", at positions 28 to 507 of the family's 1533-position model. The record is from RNAcentral.